UCUAUUUCAUCACUUGCAAUAUAAGUUGGAAUAAGUAGCUGGGCUACAUAAUGUUCCAUGAUAAACAGGCAACUGGACGCCAAGAAGUAUUUGACCAAAAGAAAGCUCUGCUAUUCUUAUACUUAUAGAGUUGGGUCAGUAAUGUUUCAGCUGAAACUGAAAAGUCAAUGUAUGGUUAGGUAUUUCAAGCCAGAGAGGAAUAAGACAUGGAAAGGCCACAUUACUCAAAUAUAUGGAAGAGUAGAAUAGUUUCUGUUGUGGCGUAGAGCCUUUUAAAGAACAAAACCGUGAGGUCCACCAUGGCACCUGGCAUGGGUUCAGGCCAAAAUGGAUAAUACCUCAUGAGCACAGAGAUCGAGCCAUCCAAUCUAUCCAAACCAUCUGACCCCUUGACCGCAACAUGUAUUUUAUUCAGUGGAUUUUAUUGGCUCGGUGGUGUAUAGAUGCAGGUAGAUGCAGCAGACUGAAAAUGAUGCGGGAAUGAGCUUUCUGUUGUGUAUAUUCCGCUGAAUAUUAGCCCCUCAAAUAUUUUGCAGCAGAGAGUUGGGCGAAACAGUUUUUUGAAGCUUUUGUCUGGUACUCUGUUCUCAAGCAAAAUGGCAGGGGAUGGUUUGGUACAUGAGUUCUGAUGGCUUAAAGGUUUUGUAUUGUUCUUUAGUUUACAGGUUGAGUCUGUAUAUCUUUUCUAUAUUAGGUAUGGUGGGGUUGCUUUUAUAUAUGUCAGAGC
Molecule: long non-coding RNA, 727 nt
Filed under: Elaeis guineensis (African oil palm)
Lineage: Eukaryota; Viridiplantae; Streptophyta; Magnoliopsida; Arecales; Arecaceae
Description: long non-coding RNA (EGUI_LNC031498)
Source: RNAcentral